GUGGUGGUGUCGCUUGUUCAGCGCUUCUGGCGUGCAUUCUGGCGAUACCUUGUCGUUGUGGCUGGUUGGUACGUGAUUUUGACGUACCGGCUGGUGAGGGCUCCCUUUCGGUGAGGACAACGACAAAAUGACGCAAUACGACCCGUCUUGAAACACGGACCAAGGAGUCUAGCACGGCUGCGAGUCGAAGGGUGUAAAACCCAAGGGCGCAGUGAAAGCGAAUUUAUAAGCAAAUUGGGGAGGCGUGGAGUUUUUAACAAAAUGUCCUACCUUGAGCAUUUGUGCUGGGACCCGAAAGAUGGUGAACUAUGCCGGAGUAGGGCAAAGCCAGAGGAAACUCUGGUGGAGGCUCGUAGCGAUGCUGACGUGCAAAUCGCUCGUCGAACUUGGGUAUAGGGGCGAAAGACUAAUCGAACCAUCUAGUAGCUGGUUCCCUCCGAAGUUUCUCUCAGGAUAGCGGGCCGACAUAUGUUGUUUUGUGCGGUAAAGCGAAUGAUUAGUGCAUUUGGGGUCUGAUAGACUUCGGGCGAUUCUCAAACUUUAAAAGCGCAAGGGGGUGGCUGCUUAAUUGAGCCUACUCUUUGAAAAACGUCGGCCCUGUGGGCCACUUUUGGUAAGCAGAACUGGCGAUAAGGGAUGAACCUUAAGCGCGGUUAAGGCGCCGCAUUGCCCGCUUAUAGACCCCACAAAAGGUGUUGAUUCAUUUAGACAGCAGGACGGUGGCCAUGGAAGUCGGAAUCCGCUAAGGAGUGUGUAACAACUCACCUGCCGAAUGAAUUAGCCCUGAAAAUGGAUGGCGCUUAAGCGGGCAGCCGACACCGCGCCGUUCCGGCGAGACGAUGCCGGGAUGAGUAGGAGGGCGUGGCGGUCAGUGACGCAGGCGAGGGUGCAGACCCCGCUGAAACGGCCGCUAGUGCAGAUCUUGGUGGUAGUAGCAAAUAUUCAAGCGAGAUCCUUGAAGGGCGAAGCGGGGAAGGGUUCCACGCAAACAUUGAUUGGGCGUGGGUGAGUCGUUCCUAAGCCGAGUGGCAAUUGCUAAGUAGCGGCGAAAGGGAAGCGGGUUAAAAUUCCCGCACACGGAUAUGGAGGCGGCGACGCAAGCAGAGGCAAAUACGCUGGCGAGGGCGCUGGGCAGAGUUGUCUUUUCUGUUUGACCGGCAUCGCGCUGUGUGGAAUCCGCUUAUCGGGAGAAACACGCGCGGGGAGGGGCAGAGCGUCAGGUCUUUUCUGGCGUCCGGCUCGCCCUCGACGGCCCUUGAAAAUUGCCCGCGAACUAAAUUUCAUGCUGUGACGUACCGAUAACCGCAGCAGG
RNAcentral lists this ribosomal RNA (1312 nucleotides) under Izziella hommersandii. RNAcentral's name for it is "LSU rRNA". It matches the Rfam family "Eukaryotic large subunit ribosomal RNA", at positions 493 to 1863 of the family's 3401-position model. Lineage: Eukaryota; Rhodophyta; Florideophyceae; Nemaliales; Liagoraceae. The record is from RNAcentral.